GUGGGGAAUAUUGCACAAUGGGCGAAAGCCUGAUGCAGCGACGCCGCGUGAGCGAAGAAGGCCUUCGGGUCGUAAAGCUCUGUCCUAUGGGAAGAUAAUGACGGUACCAUAGGAGGAAGCCCCGGCUAACUACGUGCCAGCAGCCGCGGUAAUACGUAGGGGGCGAGCGUUGUCCGGAAUGACUGGGCGUAAAGGGUGCGUAGGCGGCCAGGUAAGUCAGAUGUGAAAGGCAUAGGCUCAACCUAUGUAAGCAUUUGAAACUGUCUGGCUUGAGUCGAGGAGAGGAAAGUGGAAUUCCUGGUGUAGCGGUGAAAUGCGUAGAUAUCAGGAGGAAUACCAGUGGCGAAGGCGACUUUCUGGACUUGGACUGACGCUGAGGCACGAAAGCGUGGGGAGCAAACAGGAUUAGAAACCCUAGUAGUCC
Molecule: ribosomal RNA, 424 nt
Filed under: uncultured bacterium
Lineage: Bacteria
Description: bacterial SSU rRNA
Rfam family: Bacterial small subunit ribosomal RNA
Source: RNAcentral